Molecule: long non-coding RNA, 1444 nt
Organism: Quercus lobata
Lineage: Eukaryota; Viridiplantae; Streptophyta; Magnoliopsida; Fagales; Fagaceae
Exons: 3
Source: RefSeq, a predicted model, not a curated record
ACAAAUCAGAAUUUCUCACUCACUUUACUCUCUUUUCUCUUAAGGAAAGAGCUAGAAAUUCUCUUGAGUCUUUUCUCUCAAACCCACAGGUCAACACCUCAAAAGGAAGAUAAGGCUCCAUCUCAUUUCUUCUUUCUACUCUCUCAAAGAAAUUAGAACAAUCAAGAACUCUCUCCCUCUCAUACCCACGGGUCCAACACCAAAUGAAAGAAAAACUCUCUCAAGCUCUCUACCUCUCAUACUUUUGGGUCCAGCUACUAGGAAAGGGAAAUCCUUUCAUGUAAGAGUAAUUCUAUAUCUAUUUCCCCUCAAGAACCAGAAACUUGGUGUUUCCAGCCCCAGGUCUAAGCUCCUUCGACUUUAGGCUCUUUGUUUCUCUGUUUUAAGGUUAUAUCCUCUGAUGAUUUGAACUCUACCAGUAGGAGUUGAAGAUAUGUAUUAUGAUGUGAUCUCGGGAAUACCUGACAUUGUGGGAAAUGCUGGAUGCCUAGCACUGUGGUGCUAAAAGUCUCCCAAAUAAGUACAGACUUAUCAUAUAUGGACUAACCAAUAUGUUAUGGAUAGCUAUUAAAUGUUAUUGAUCAUGAGAGAAUUAUUUUGUUUAAAUGCAUUAUGAAAAGUUGAAAAUUCUCAUGAAAAGAAGAAGUUUAUGAUGAAAAGAAAAGCUAUUUUUUAAAGAUAAAAGUUUCUAAAGUUCUGUUGUGCUUUAAAGAUAAAGUAUCUAAUGAAAAUGUUUUAAUCUUCUGUAAGGAUAAAGCUUCUGAUGAAAAUACAAGUUUAUGUUAAAAAGUUACCAAUUAUCUGAUUUAAGUUAAAAUGAUUAUUUUGUAAUGAGAAUACAUAUAUAUUGAUUUUAAACAAUUAAUAUUAUAUUUGGUGACUUUGUAAGAAAUGAAAGAAAUUAAAUCUGAAAGGUUUUGGUAAUAUUAUUCUGAUAAGAAAAGGGAGAACAAUUAAUUUCCUAUGAAGAGUGAUAAUUUAUUAUUAUAAAUAGUAUAAAAUACUAUGCAUGAAAAGAUGUUCUCUUAUCUGAAUAUCCAUAUAAUGAAAUGAUUUGAUUUACAUGCAUCCUUAUUAAAUUCUUAUGUAUCUUACCCUUACCGAGCUGUGUAGCUCACCCCUUCCACUCUUUCAGUUAGCAGGUUUUAUUUUGGAGCAAAGGGAGCCUUAGUCAAGUUUUGGAAGGAGUUGGUUUUAGCUUUGAAAGUAUAGAUCCCAAAUUAGCAAUUUGAUGUUUAGCUUUGUAGUAUUGUGUAUUUCAGGAUCUAAUGAAGAUUGUGUACCUUAAAGUAUUAAGAGAUGUAUUAUGUGAAAUUUAGAAUUUGUUUUAACUAGUGGAUUAUGUUAUUCUUUGAGUACAGUGUAGAUACUCUAAAUAUUAAGUGAAAAGUUAUAUCAUUUAAGUAAAGAAACAAGAAUGAAAAGAAAGAGGGAAGAUUUUGUA